UAAAAAUAUAUAUAUUAAAUUUAUCUGAGUUAUAUAUAGAUUAUUUUGAAUUGGCUAUCUAAUCUUAUAAAUUUUUGAUUUUACUAUCUAAUCCGUAAUUUAUUUGAUUUGAGUUAGUCAAUUAACAUCACCUUGACUUCACAAUUUUAGACUAAUUAAUUACUUAACUUAAUAAAUUUAUAGUUGCGAGAAUUGUAUAAAAUAUUCCAACUAAAUCUCCAAAGGUAAACGACGAAUUCAAAUUUGGAAGUCAAAAUAUCAGCUCAAAUCAAACAAAUUGAAAGAUCGGACAGUAAAAUCAAAGUUUUGAAAAUUUGAGUAGUAGCCGAAUCAAAAUAGUCUAUAGUUCAAAUAAGUUUUAUAUUAUUUUACUGAAAAAAUAAUAUAUUUGCUUUUGUAAGUGAUUACAUGUUAUCCAAAUCUCACUGGUUGGUUUUUUAAUAUUUGAUUUUUGGAAAAACUUCAAAAACCUUCCAUGUGGUUUCACACUUUCUUAUUUUAGUACUCUGUGGUUUAAAGUGUAUCAAUUUGCCCCCCUGUGAUUUUGUUUUUAUCUUUUCGGCUACUUUUUCCUUAAUAUUUCAUUAAAUUAUGUACAAAAAACUUAAGAUAUCCAUCUAGAUUAAUUUAUCGAAUAUUUACUUUACUAUCCUUUAAUUUUAACUUUGUCACUGAUUUAAGAAAAAAAAAUAAUAAAAUUGAUACUAAAAAGAGAAAAACGAAACCACAGGGGGGCAAAUUGAUAUGCUUUAAACCACAAGGUACUAAAGUGAUAAAGUGCGAAACCACAGAGGGGGUUUUUGAAGUUUUUCCUUGAUUUUUUAUUACCAUACUGGAAAAUAGAUAACCACAUCUUAAUUAAUUAUACACUUCUGUCUCAACUCUUUUAAUCAGAUAGUGCAUUCCACAAUCCUCAAUACCAAAUGGGCUAUAUUAUAUCUAUUUCAGUCCGAGUUGUCAAAUUGCUUGUUUAAUUUGUUAUGUAGUACCAACUGUUUCUAGAGCAAGUGGCAAAGAGCUUAGUGGUUGGUACUCGAAAUUCCAAGUUCGAAUCCUAGUUAAUUCACACUUUCAGCUAAGUUUAUUUCUAAAUGAAAUAAACGAAACGGAUAGUGUGCUAUCUAUCUCUUUCAAAAAAAAAAAAAUUGCUAUGUAGUGGUUGGAAGGAUUUGGUAUGACGGGAAGGUGGAAUGUACUUGUAGAUCGAUAAAUAAACAAAUUUAGACGAAAAUCUGGUUCUUAAUUGUACGAAAUAGAGAAAGUUGGACGAAACAAGCCCUAAAUCUCAUAAUCCCCCUGAACCUACUUAAUACUAUAUAGAGCUAGUGGGGUAGCACCAGCCAUAGUUAGUUAAUUCGGAUUCGGCAAAAAUUCGAUACGGAUAUAAUUCGGAUAAAAUUUACCUUUUAAUUUUUAAAUUCGUUGAAAAAUACGGCUAAAAAACGGAUUCGGUAAUUAUUCGGAUACGUGAUUUAUAUGGAUAUUAUACGUUCAUUAAUUAAAAAUUCGGAAUAAAAAAUUCGGCUAUAUAAUAAAUAUAUAAUAAUUAAUAUACUAUAUAUAUUAUUAUUAUAAUUUUUAUAUAUAGAUUAAGUAUAUUUAAAAUUAUAAUAAAUAUAUAUUAAUAAUAUAUAAGAGUUAUAUAUUUACAAAUAUUAAUAAAUAAUUACAGAUUUAUAAAUAAAAUAUUAUAUAAUAAUAUUUCUAUAUAAAACUAAAAUAAAAUAUAUAAUAAAUGAAUAUAUAUUUAUAUAUAUAUAUAGAAUUA
Molecule: long non-coding RNA, 1768 nt
Filed under: Ananas comosus (pineapple)
Lineage: Eukaryota; Viridiplantae; Streptophyta; Magnoliopsida; Poales; Bromeliaceae
Description: long non-coding RNA (ACOM_LNC034267)
Source: RNAcentral